This 2420-nucleotide long non-coding RNA is filed under the name Mus musculus (house mouse). RNAcentral's name for it is "long non-coding RNA chrX:12943459-12945879". Lineage: Eukaryota; Metazoa; Chordata; Mammalia; Rodentia; Muridae. The record is from RNAcentral.
UCUGCCUCCCAAGUGCUGGGAUUAAAGGUGUGUGCCAUCACCACCUGGCAGGGGAAAACAUUUCAACUGUCAAUUGGAUUGUUCUACGUUGAUUCCAGCCAGUUGGUGGAUGGGUUUGUAUCAUCUUCUGCCUAGCUAUUUAUUAAUUGUUGAAAGAAGAGCAUUGACAACUUGGCUGUGUUGUGGAUUUGUCCAUUCUCCUUCUAGUUCUACAACUUUUCUUAUAGGCUUUAUUUUUAAUUUUGUAUGUAUGUGGGGUGUGUGUGUGUGUGUGUGUGUAUGAGUGUGAGUGCAUUUUGAGGGCAGAGGGCAGAUUCCCUAGAUCUGGAGUUACAGGCCACUCCAUGUGGGUGCUGGGAACUGAACUCAGGUCCUCUCCAAGAGUAAGAAGUACUUUUAACCACUGGGCAAUCUCUCUAGCCCUCAAUCCUAUAAUUUUAAAUUCACAUGCCUAGCUCCAUAGUUUGCAACAGAUACACAUAGAAAUUGAUGCCUUCUUGGUGUAAUAACUCUUUGAUUAUUAUGUAAUGUAAUAAUAUGUAUCACUGACAUUUUGUUUUCUCUGCACUCUAUCUGAUAUUAUUACUACUUUCUUUUUAUUAAUAUUUGAAUUACAUACUGGUCUGUGUUUUUACUUUCAAACUACUAUCAUAUCUGCAGUGUGUUUCUUGGUCCAUUUUUAAAUGCCCUUUGCUAAUCUGUGCCUUGUAGUUGGUACAUCAGGCCAUUAACUUUAACAUAAUUAUUGAUAUGCAAAUCUUAACUUUGAAAUUUACUUUCUAUUCUCUGCUUUCUGUUUCUGUCUCAUUUUUCCUACCUUCCAGUAGGUUACUAGAGUAUUGUCUGUAAUUCCAUCUUGAAUGGUGGGUAGUUAUUGACUUUAUCUCCUUACAUCAUUUACUUAAUGAUUCUUCAAAAUCAAUAGUCUUUUUUUUCUUAUUUAGUUUUUAUUCAUAAUCAUAAACUGAACUCUGCAAUCCAUCUAUACUUGGAGGGGAAUGAGGAAAAUAUGGAACCCACAGAACUUCAGUGAGAGCAGAGAUUACAGGGUACUGUGAGCAGGUGGGGUGGGGGCGCUCUCCUGAGCUACAGAAGGAAUGGUCUGAUGGAUAAGAUGCCCCCAAGUCAAGCUGUGCAGAGUAGGCAAUGGUGAUCUUGCAGUUCCUAGACCCAAAAUGCUCAUGGCUUCCACAAUGCUCAUGCCUUCUUUCACUAAAGACCACAUGCUUGGGAUCCAGUCUUGGCAGUGCAGAUAAAAAUCUGGGAACCAUUAGUGUUUGGCCCAGCAUUUGCCAUGGACAAGGAGAUGUCAGGAUGGCCCUGCCACCAGUGCCAUUAUGGUGUGUGCCAUCACCACCCUGGCUCAUGAAACCUGGAAUAAUUCUGCAAAAGGAGGAAUCCUUAUAUCCAAACUCUUUCCAGUGCUCAGAGCAGGAAAGUUUUCUGCUGUCCCUGGAACUUUGUCUGCAAAUAGCUUGAAGGAGACGUGGCCCAAGGGCUCACCAUCACCCCACUGUGAAGUACACAGUGGGGUUGACCGUGGCUGCAGCAAGCAGCAACAGGGAACAGCAGUGUCUACAAAGCCAAACUCAGUGGUUUUCAACAUGUGGGUCAGGACCCCCUAAGGUUUGGUAUAUCAGAUAUCCUAAAUAUCAAAUACUUACAUUAUGAUUCAGAACAGUAGCAAAAUCAUAGUUAUGAAGUAGAAAAAAAACCUUUUGUUCUCUAAGGCAGAGAUUGGGGGUCACCACAACAUGAAGUAGUGUAUUAAAGGGCUGUAGCAUUAGGAAGGUUGAGAACCGCUGGUAUAGAGAAUCUAUGUAUGUUGUAUAUAUAAUUCGUUAUAAGUCAUGUGCAUCUGACUGAGUAUGUAUGGUCUGAUUGCUUCAUUAUCCCACUAGCUUUUGCAUAUAAAGUUUUAUGUCCCAGUCAGGCAUGAUGGCGCAGGCCUACAGUCCCAGUACUUGGGAGGCUGAGGCAAAAGGAUCAUGAGAUGAACAUGGGAAGACAUCUGAAAAUCUGCAAGGUCCCAUGCUUCCUACAGUAGUACUAAGGUGAGGAAAUUUGCUUAGUUUUCUGUGAUCUAAAUUGAUUUGACCAUAAAAAUCCUCUCAUAAACUCUUUAAAUAUCUCAAAAGCCAGUAGAACUCAUGUGACCUGUCUAGAGAGUACAGUUCCUGGGAAACUUUGCUGGUUGCUUUUCUCAUAUCAGAGCAUUGAAAAUGUAUUAUCAAAGCCAGGCAGUGGUGGUGCUUGGGAGGCAGAGGCAGAUGGAUCUCUGUGAGUUUGAGGCCAGCCUGGUUUACAUUAUAAAGUUUCAGGAUAGCCACGGCUACGAAGAGAAACCCUGCCUCAAACAAACAAACAAACAAACAAACACACAAACAAAAAGUAUUAUCGUGUAGUGCUCAAAGUAUUUC